AUUGAACGCUGGCGGCAUGCUUUACACAUGCAAGUCGAACGGUAACAGGCCGCAAGGUGCUGACGAGUGGCGAACGGGUGAGUAAUGCAUCGGAACGUGCCCAGUCGUGGGGGAUAACUACUCGAAAGAGUAGCUAAUACCGCAUACGAUCUAUGGAUGAAAGCGGGGGACCGUAAGGCCUCGCGCGAUUGGAGCGGCCGAUGUCAGAUUAGGUAGUUGGUGGGGUAAAGGCUCACCAAGCCAACGAUCUGUAGCUGGUCUGAGAGGACAACCAGCCACACUGGGACUGAGACACGGCCCAGACUCCUACGGGAGGCAGCAGUGGGGAAUUUUGGACAAUGGGCGCAAGCCUGAUCCAGCAAUGCCGCGUGCAGGAAGAAGGCCUUCGGGUUGUAAACUGCUUUUGUACGGACGAAACGGCUCUGGUUAAUACCCGGGGCUAAUGACGGUACCGUAAGAAUAAGCACCGGCUAACUACGUG
Molecule: ribosomal RNA, 481 nt
Filed under: uncultured bacterium
Lineage: Bacteria
Description: partial 16S ribosomal RNA
Rfam family: Bacterial small subunit ribosomal RNA
Source: RNAcentral